CUCUGUUUUGUCGAGUCCAAGUCCUGUAUGUAUAACUGACCAUGCUUUUUUAGACAGGGCACGGCCACGUUUGCUGAGAUGUUGGCUCUUCACUCCUCAGUGUCCCUGUGUCAGAUCACAAGACCUCCUCAUGCUGCAGAAAAAACAGAGUCAGAGUCACACACUCCUGUUCAUACACAUGAAUGCGAAGAUGCUACUGAAAUAUUGAUAUGUGUAUUCCAUUCAUACAUCACUGCUUUUAUUAUACAUGGUAAUGAUCAUGCUGUAACAGAGUUACACUCCCACUAGAUCACAAAUUUAAGAACACCAUGUCAGUUUGUAUGUGCCUACUGUGUUUAAAUGGUAACACAAAAUUAUCUGGUGAAAUUACAUCUUUACAAUAUGACUUUAAAGCCAGAAAGUGCUAGGUAACGGAGUUACAGAAAAUUAACAUCACUUUUUCCAACAAAAGUCAAUAUCAUCAAACAUGCGGUUCUUAUAACAUUACAAAAGCACCCUUUGACAUGUGACACGUGACUCACUUUUGACGUACUUAUGAAACAUAUAUGUCAUGGUAACAUAAGCUACAAAUGUUUCUAUUGUUAAAACAAUAUUUAAUUUUGUAAAUUAUUACCAAAAAUAUAUGAAAUGUUCAUGUAUUCAUUAGUAUUAGUAUGUUUAAUCAUAAUGAAAGAAAAAAAAUGCAAAGUAGAUGUACCGUAUAUCGGUACAAAACAUGCUUUAUUAUUAAUUAUUACU
This is a long non-coding RNA of Alosa alosa (allis shad), 738 nucleotides long. RefSeq lists it as uncharacterized. The transcript is spliced from 3 exons. NCBI's taxonomy places the organism in Eukaryota, Metazoa, Chordata, Actinopteri, Clupeiformes, Clupeidae. The record is from RefSeq and is a predicted model, not a curated record.